Molecule: transfer RNA, 24 nt
Filed under: Pteridium aquilinum subsp. decompositum
Lineage: Eukaryota; Viridiplantae; Streptophyta; Polypodiopsida; Polypodiales; Dennstaedtiaceae
Description: partial tRNA-Leu
Source: RNAcentral
AAAAUCCGUUGGUUCCAAAGGACC